RNAcentral lists this ribosomal RNA (1350 nucleotides) under metagenome. Its description in RNAcentral is "bacterial SSU rRNA". It matches the Rfam family "Archaeal small subunit ribosomal RNA". The record is from RNAcentral.
GCUCAGUAACACGUCAAUAAUCUGCCCUUAGACUCGGCAUACCCUCGGGAAACUGAGGCUAACACCGAAUACGGGAUAAGUGCUGGAACGCACUAUCCUUGAAACGCAAGGUCUAAGGAUGAGUUGGCGGCGGAUUAGGUUGUUGGUGGGGUAAAGGCCCACCAAGCCUAAGAUCCGUAGGGGCCUUGAGAGAGGUAGCCCCGAGAAGGACACUGAGAUACUGGUCCUAGCCCUACGGGGUGUAGUAGGCGUGGAACCUUUAUAAUGCGCGUAAGCGUGAUAAGGGAAUCCUGAGUGCUUAUGCUUAGCAUAGGCUUUUGCCAAGAGUAAAUAUCUUGGCGAAUAAGUGGUGGGUAAGACUGGUGUUAGUAGUUGCGGUAAUACCAGCGCCACGAGUGGCAAUAAUUAUUAUUGGGUUUAAAGCGUUCGUAGCCUGUUUAGUAAGUCUUUUGUGAAAUUGUUGUUUUUAAUGUAAUAGUGUGCAAAAGAUACUGCUAAACUUGGAACUGGAAGGGGCGUGGAGUAUGCAGGGGGGAGCGGUAAAAUGCUAUAAUCCCUUGUAGACUACUGGUGGUGAAGGUGCCACGCUAGUACAGAUUCGACGGUGAGGAACGAAAGCCAGGGGAGUAAAUCGGAUUAGAUAUCCGAGUAGUCCUGGCUGUAAAUGUUGUGAGUAAGAUGUUGCAUAUUCUUUGUGAAUGUGCAGUGUUGAAGAGAAGUUGUUAAGCUCAUUAUUUGGGAAGUAUGGUCGUAAGGCUGAAACUUAAAGGAAUUGGCGGGGGAGCAUUAUAAGGGGUGCGGCGUGCGGUUUAAUUUAAUUUAAUAUAGAGAAUUUUAUUAGUAGCGAUGGUAUAAUGAAGAUUAGUUUAAAGGGUUUAUUUGAGGAGCUGAGAGGUAGUGUAUGGCCGCCGUUAGCUCGUGUUGUAAGGUGUUUUGUUAAGUUAGGUAAUGAGCAAGACCUGUAUCCACAGUUGUUAAUGAUUUUUUUUGGAGAAUCGAGUACACUGUGGGGACUGCCUUCGAAAGAAGGAGGAAGGUGCAGGCUACGGUAGGUCUGUAUGUUCCGAAUUCGCUGGGCUACACGCGUGCAACAAUGGUAAGGAUAAAAGGAUGUAACUCUGGAAGGAGGAGUUAAACCCUAAAACCUUAUCUUAGUUUAGAUUGAGGAUUGUAAUUUAUCCUCAUGAUAUUGGAAUCCCUAGUAAUCAGAUGUUAUUAGUGUCUGGUGAAUAUGUUUUUGCUCCUUGUAUAUAUUGUCCGUCAAACCAUUUGAGUAGAGUUUGGGUGAGGCUUAGUUUUUAAUUAAGUCGAAUCUAAACUCAGUGAGAUGGGUUAAGUUGUUAUAAGGUC